CUCUGCUCGGCGCCCGCCCCUGCUCCGCGCCCGGCUCCGCGCCGCUCCGCCCCCGCCUCCGCGAGGAGCGCGGGCAGCCCGCCUGCUCCGCGGCCGCGCUGCAGUCCCGCUCCGGCAUGCCCCUCGCCGGAGGAGCACCGGCCGGCACGGGACUCCGCCGCCUCGACCCGCGCUCUGCCGGGCUCCGCCGCUCGCCGGCAUGAAGCGCCCGGCGCCGGGCUGCCGCCGCUGAGGAUCCCCGCGGCACGGGACCCGCGCCCCAUGGGGCAGCACCGCGGCCGCUGAGCCCCGCGCCGCCGCCCGCCGCCCCCCACCCCGCGCCGGCCGCCCCGCGGCCCCCGCCUCGCCCCGCUAUGGGGCCGCGGCACCUGCUGCUGCCGCUGCUCCUGCU
This 391-nucleotide long non-coding RNA is filed under the name Gallus gallus (chicken). Its description in RNAcentral is "long non-coding RNA NONGGAT003223". The record is from RNAcentral. Lineage: Eukaryota; Metazoa; Chordata; Aves; Galliformes; Phasianidae.